Molecule: ribosomal RNA, 254 nt
Filed under: uncultured bacterium
Lineage: Bacteria
Description: partial 16S ribosomal RNA
Rfam family: Bacterial small subunit ribosomal RNA
Source: RNAcentral
UACGUAGGGUGCAAGCGUUAUCCGGAUUUAUUGGGCGUAAAGAGUAUCGUAGGCGGUUAUGAAAGUGCAUGGUUAAAGGCUGCGGCUCAACCGUAGAAAUGCUAUGCAUACUAUAUAACUAGAGGGUUGUCGGGAGUGCUGGAAUUCUCGGUGGAGGGGUGAAAUCCGUUGAUAUCGAGAGGAACACCAAAGGCGAAGGCAGGCACUUAGGCAACAUCUGACGCUGAUGAACGAAAGCUAGGGGAGCGAAAGGG